AACGAACGCUGGCGGCAGGCCUAACACAUGCAAGUCGAGCGAGGACUUCGGUCCUAGCGGCGGACGGGUGAGUAACGCUUUGGAACGUUCCCUUUUCUUCUGAAUAGCCCUGGGAAACUGGGAGUAAUACCGGUUGAGCCCUUUGGUGGAAAGUUUUAUCGGCGAAGGAUCUGCCCGCGUUGUAUUAGGUAGUUGGUGUGGUAAUGGCCUACCAACCCGGCGAUACAUAGCUGGUUUGCGAGGAUGAUCAGCCACACUGGGACUGAGACACGACCCAGACUCCUACGGAAGGAAGCAGUGGGGAAUCUGAGACAAUGGGGGAAACCCUGAGCGAGCCAUGAAGCGUGAGAGAUGAAGGACUUAGGGUUGUAAAGCGCUUUCAGCUGGGAAGAUAAUGAAGGUACCAGCAGAAGAAGACCAGGCUAACUCAGUG
RNAcentral lists this ribosomal RNA (433 nucleotides) under uncultured bacterium. RNAcentral's name for it is "partial 16S ribosomal RNA". It matches the Rfam family "Bacterial small subunit ribosomal RNA", at positions 29 to 507 of the family's 1533-position model. The record is from RNAcentral.